UAAUGUCUGGGAAACUGCCUGAUGGAGGGGGAUAACUACUGGAAACGGUAGCUAAUACCGCAUAACGUCUUCGGACCAAAGUGGGGGACCUUCGGGCCUCACGCCAUCAGAUGUGCCCAGAUGGGAUUAGCUAGUAGGUGGGGUAAUGGCUCACCUAGGCGACGAUCCCUAGCUGGUCUGAGAGGAUGACCAGCCACACUGGAACUGAGACACGGUCCAGACUCCUACGGGAGGCAGCAGUGGGGAAUAUUGCACAAUGGGCGCAAGCCUGAUGCAGCCAUGCCGCGUGUGUGAAGAAGGCCUUCGGGUUGUAAAGCACUUUCAGCGAGGAGGAAGGGUGGUGUGUUAAUAGCGCAUCACAUUGACGUUACUCGCAGAAGAAGCACCGGCUAACUCCGUGCCAGCAGCCGCGGUAAUACGGAGGGUGCAAGCGUUAAUCGGAAUUACUGGGCGUAAAGCGCACGCAGGCGGUUUGUUAAGUCAGAUGUGAAAUCCCCGCGCUUAACGUGGGAACUGCAUUUGAAACUGGCAAGCUAGAGUCUUGUAGAGGGGGGUAGAAUUCCAGGUGUAGCGGUGAAAUGCGUAGAGAUCUGGAGGAAUACCGGUGGCGAAGGCGGCCCCCUGGACAAAGACUGACGCUC
Molecule: ribosomal RNA, 641 nt
Filed under: uncultured bacterium
Lineage: Bacteria
Description: bacterial SSU rRNA
Rfam family: Bacterial small subunit ribosomal RNA
Source: RNAcentral